GGUUUUACCUGGAAGGGAAGACAUCUUAAUUAUUAAGGAGGUUUUCCCAGCAUGAGGCUCAUCCAUUGCACUUUGGGUGUGCUGGUCGCUCCAAUUUCCCCAAAUGCAGGAAACUCGGCUACAUAAUUUGUGGUAUUCUCCAGACCAGAGAUAUCUCAACACUGGG
This is a small nuclear RNA of Hemicordylus capensis (graceful crag lizard), 166 nucleotides long. RefSeq annotates it as U1 spliceosomal RNA. The record is from RefSeq and is a predicted model, not a curated record. NCBI's taxonomy places the organism in Eukaryota, Metazoa, Chordata, Lepidosauria, Squamata, Cordylidae. The transcript has a single exon.